Molecule: long non-coding RNA, 734 nt
Organism: Hypanus sabinus (Atlantic stingray)
Lineage: Eukaryota; Metazoa; Chordata; Chondrichthyes; Myliobatiformes; Dasyatidae
Exons: 3
Source: RefSeq, a predicted model, not a curated record
AUGAAGUUAUCUACACUAACUUGUGGUGAAGUAACUGGCCUUUGGAUAUUAAGAAAUUAAAAUGAAUUACAGUAAUAGAAAAUAUAAUACUUUGAAAAGCAGGCAUGGCUUUUUCCCUUGCUAAGGACCUGUGAAUGAAGUUGAACAUUGUGCAAUCAUCAGAAAACAUCCCUAAUUCUGACCCUAUGCUGGAAGGAAGGCCACAAGUAAAGCAAGUGAAGAUGGCAGGGCUCAGGAUACUAUUAUGAUGGACUCCUACAUUGAUACCCUGAGACUGAAAUGAAAGACUCUAACACCAACACCAUCUUGCUUUGUCUGAGGUGGAUGAGUUUCUGUUGAAGACCCUGACCUGGAGCCACAGUCAAACUUCAGCUCUUUGCAGUGAUAGGGUCCACUCCCAGGGCUCACCAACAGGCCCCUUUUCCAUAACGUAGCCUCGACGGUGAGCAUGCCUUCAGGGUUCUGAGCCUUCGCGGCCCUGGGGACAAUCUGAUUCUAUGCCAGUGCCACCGAAUGAAGCACAACAGAAUAUUGGGAACAGCGGAUCAACUGUCGGGAGUUCUGUACUUGGCCCGCACUUCCCUCUCCUUCUUUCGGUGUGUGGGAGUUCGUUGCUGAUUCUCGAGUUAGAGAACUCCGGGGAAGAAGAGAGUCACUGUAAAUCAGCGAGUUGUUUGUCUUUGUUGGUCUCCCCUCCACUAUCGAAAUGUCGGGGGAACGAUUAGUUUUUGUUG